CUUCAGGCCCACACGGGGCAGACCGCUGUGAGGAGCUCCCAGGAGAAGCAGGGCCAGGUAGCCAGCAGGGCAGAGCACAGGACCUAGGACCAGGCUGAGAAAGAAGAGAAGAGCAAUUUCAGUGCCUAAACUGUAGGGAAAGACAGUCUCUUCUGUGGCCUCAAUGUGUGCCUCAAGGUGCAGAGGAAGUCAAGCAGGGCCAGGAGACCCGGUCCCCACACAGGGAAUAUGCUGUCUCCCCAAGCAGGGCGGCCUGCUCCUGGAGACCAAAGAGGAAUAAACCCCAGCAGGGUUUAGCGGUCCUCAGCCCCCACAGUGGAAGCAGCCCAAGCAGGAUGCACCAGGGCAGCAGCAGCUCCCUGGGUGCCCAGACAAGUCUAUACCCACGCGUGCUGCUCCAGCAAAGCCACACGAGGGGAGGCCAAAAGAGAAGCCCUGCCAAGGUGGACCUCCACAGGUCUAUCUGAUUCCGUGGAGCCCCAGCCCCGCGCAAGGCGAUGCGAGAGGGCCAGCACAAGAGAGGUGGCCAGAAACCUCACUGCCAUCUGAGAGAUGGCCAGAAGUCUGCCUGCCUCUGCCUCCACUGAGGUAGACCUGAAAGUGUCCACCCACGCUUCCCCGUGACGGGGCAAUAAACUAACUCUUGGCGACCUGA
Molecule: non-coding RNA, 655 nt
Organism: Heterocephalus glaber (naked mole-rat)
Lineage: Eukaryota; Metazoa; Chordata; Mammalia; Rodentia; Bathyergidae
Source: RefSeq, a predicted model, not a curated record